CAGUAGCCGCGGUAAUACGGAGGGAGCUAGCGUUACCCGGAUUUACUGGGCGUAAAGGGCGUGUAGGCGGCCUGGGGCGUCCCAUGUGAAAGGCCACGGCUCAACCGUGGAGGAGCGUGGGAUACGCUCAGGCUAGAGGGUGGGAGAGGGUGGUGGAAUUCCCGGAGUAGCGGUGAAAUGCGCAGAUACCGGGAGGAACGCCGAUGGCGAAGGCAGCCACCUGGUCCACUUCUGACGCUGAGGCGCGAAAGCGUGGGGAGCAAACCGGAUUAGAUACCCCUGUAGUCCCUGUCUCUUAUAC
RNAcentral lists this ribosomal RNA (301 nucleotides) under uncultured bacterium. RNAcentral's name for it is "partial 16S ribosomal RNA". It matches the Rfam family "Bacterial small subunit ribosomal RNA", at positions 509 to 807 of the family's 1533-position model. The record is from RNAcentral.